RNAcentral lists this ribosomal RNA (380 nucleotides) under uncultured bacterium. Its description in RNAcentral is "bacterial SSU rRNA". It matches the Rfam family "Bacterial small subunit ribosomal RNA", at positions 29 to 433 of the family's 1533-position model. The record is from RNAcentral.
AGCGAACGCUGGCGGCAGGCUUAACACAUGCAAGUCGAGCGCCCGUAGCAAUACGGGAGCGGCAGACGGGAGAGUAACACGUGGGAACAUGCCCUUCGGUUCGGAAUAAACUCAGGGAAACUUGAGCUAAUACCGGAUACGUCCGUAAGGAGAAAGAUUUAUCGCCGAAGGAUUGGCCCGCGUCCGAUUAGCUUGUUGGUGAGGUAAUGGCUCACCAAGGCGACGAUCGGUAGCUGGUCNGAGAGGAUGAUCAGCCUCACUGGGACUGAGACACGGCCCAGACUCCUACGGGAGGCAGCAGUGGGGAAUAUUGGACAAUGGGCGAAAGCCUGAUCCAGCCAUGCCGCGUGGGUGAUGAAGGCCUUAGGGUUGUAAAGCCC